Molecule: ribosomal RNA, 494 nt
Filed under: uncultured bacterium
Lineage: Bacteria
Description: partial 16S ribosomal RNA
Rfam family: Bacterial small subunit ribosomal RNA
Source: RNAcentral
GACGAACGCUGGCGGCGCGCUUAACACAUGCAAGUCGAACGGAAAGGCCUGCUUUCCCUUGUGGAUUGCGGGUACUCGAGUGGCGAACGGGUGAGUAACACGUGAGUGAUCUGCCCCCAACUUGGGUAUAAGCCUGGGAAACUGGGUCUAAUUCCCGAUAGGACUGCAGGGUGGUGCCUGUGGUGGAAAACGAUUUUCUAGUGGGUGGGGAUGAGCUCGCGGCCUAUCAGCUUGUUGGUGGGGUAAUGGCCUACCAAGGCGGCGACGGGUAGCCGGCCUGAGAGUGUGGACGGCCACAUUGGGACUGAGAUACGGCCCAGACUCCUACGGGAGGCAGCAGUGGGGAAUAUUGCACAAUGGGCGGAAGCCUGAUGCAGCGACGCCGCGUGGGGGAUGACGGCCUUCGGGUUGUAAACUCCUUUCGACCGCGAGGAAGCCACCUGGUUGGAAGGGUGGUGACGGUAGUGGUAGAAGAAGCACCGGCUAACUACGUG